Helianthus annuus (common sunflower) is the source of this 482-nucleotide long non-coding RNA. RefSeq lists it as uncharacterized. NCBI's taxonomy places the organism in Eukaryota, Viridiplantae, Streptophyta, Magnoliopsida, Asterales, Asteraceae. The transcript has 3 exons. The record is from RefSeq and is a predicted model, not a curated record.
GAGAAUUAGGGACUAGGAAGAACUCUGCCCUCAUCUAACCCUAACAUCACAAAUCCAUCAAAUUAAAAGGGAAAUUGAAGGCUAGUUGAAUGCAUGAACUAAGAAUGGUGAUCACCUAAGUAUUUCCUACAUCAAGCACGAAGAAGGAAGAAGGCGUAAGUCACUCGAAGGCACAAGCAUCUCAAGAUCGCGGUAAAUCCCUUGCUUAAUUGCGGCGCACCCGGACUGAACACACACAAUGUAGACUUUUUUACACGCUUCCGGUUCAAGUGGUUUAUUAUGUAUGGGUCAAAGUUUUCAUUUUGUGAUAUGGUGUCAAACUUAUGUUUAGUAUGUUAGUAUGUAGUUUGGAUUUCUAAACCUUUUAGUAUGUUGGACAAAAUGUUUAUGGUGAACCUUAUAUGGUCACCACUUUGCUAUUUCUGAAAGAUGUUGUAGAACUUUAUUAAAUUGAUAAUGUUAAAAGCAGGUGGAAAAGUUCU